This 450-nucleotide ribosomal RNA is filed under the name uncultured bacterium. RNAcentral's name for it is "partial 16S ribosomal RNA". It matches the Rfam family "Bacterial small subunit ribosomal RNA", at positions 354 to 796 of the family's 1533-position model. The record is from RNAcentral.
GUGGGGAAUUUUGGACAAUGGGCGAAAGCCUGAUCCAGCCAUGCCGCGUGCAGGAUGAAGGCCUUCGGGUUGUAAACUGCUUUUGUACGGAACGAAACGGUCCGGGUUAAUACCCUGGGCUAAUGACGGUACCGUAAGAAUAAGCACCGGCUAACUACGUGCCAGCAGCCGCGGUAAUACGUAGGGUGCAAGCGUUAAUCGGAAUUACUGGGCGUAAAGCGCGCGUAGGUGGUUUUGUAAGUUGGAGGUGAAAUCCCCGGGCUCAACCUGGGAACUGCAUUUGUGACUGUAUAGCUAGAGUACGGUAGAGGGGGAUGGAAUUCCGCGUGUAGCAGUGAAAUGCGUAGAUAUGCGGAGGAACACCGAUGGCGAAGGCAAUCCCCUGGACCUGUACUGACGCUCAUGCACGAAAGCGUGGGGAGCAAACAGGAUUAGAUACCCGUGUAGUCC